UAUCUCCUACGGGGGGCAGCAGUCGGGAAUAUUGCGCAAUGGAGGAAACUCUGACGCAGUGACGCCGCGUAUAGGAAGAAGGUUUUCGGAUUGUAAACUAUUGUCGUUAGGGAAGAUAAAAGACAGUACCUAAGGAGGAAGCUCCGGCUAACUACGUGCCAGCAGCCGCGGUAAUACGUAGGGGGCGAGCGUUAUCCGGAUUCACUGGGUGUAAAGGGAGCGUAGACGGCCAUGCAAGCCAGGGGUGAAAGCCCGGGGCCCAACCCCGGGACUGCCCUUGGAACUGCAUGGCUGGAGUGCGGGAG
RNAcentral lists this ribosomal RNA (305 nucleotides) under uncultured bacterium. RNAcentral describes it as "bacterial SSU rRNA". It matches the Rfam family "Bacterial small subunit ribosomal RNA", at positions 333 to 654 of the family's 1533-position model. The record is from RNAcentral.